RNAcentral lists this ribosomal RNA (492 nucleotides) under uncultured bacterium. Its description in RNAcentral is "partial 16S ribosomal RNA". It matches the Rfam family "Bacterial small subunit ribosomal RNA", at positions 29 to 507 of the family's 1533-position model. The record is from RNAcentral.
AGUGAACGCUGGCGGCAGGCCUAACACAUGCAAGUCGAACGGCAGCACAGUAAGAGCUUGCUCUUACGGGUGGCGAGUGGCGGACGGGUGAGGAAUACAUCGGAAUCUACUUUUUCGUGGGGGAUAACGUAGGGAAACUUACGCUAAUACCGCAUACGACCUACGGGUGAAAGCAGGGGAUCUUCGGACCUUGCGCGAUUGAAUGAGCCGAUGUCGGAUUAGCUAGUUGGCGGGGUAAAGGCCCACCAAGGCGACGAUCCGUAGCUGGUCUGAGAGGAUGAUCAGCCACACUGGAACUGAGACACGGUCCAGACUCCUACGGGAGGCAGCAGUGGGGAAUAUUGGACAAUGGGCGCAAGCCUGAUCCAGCCAUACCGCGUGGGUGAAGAAGGCCUUCGGGUUGUAAAGCCCUUUUGUUGGGAAAGAAAAGCAGCAGGUUAAUACCUCGCUGUUCUGACGGUACCCAAAGAGUAAGCACCGGCUAACUUCGUG